RNAcentral lists this long non-coding RNA (577 nucleotides) under Paramuricea clavata. Lineage: Eukaryota; Metazoa; Cnidaria; Anthozoa; Malacalcyonacea; Plexauridae. The record is from RNAcentral.
GUUUUAUUAGGUCUAAAGCCACUCGCGCUGCGCGCUCGUGGCUUUAAACCUAAUAAAACACUCCUGCUCGUUUUUUAAAUAGUACUUCAAAAACGAUUGAUCUAGUAAGUUCAUUGGCAAAGUAAUUUUCAAAAAAUACGUUGUGUAAGUCGAGAAAAUGAAAGUUAAAGUUUAUGUAAAUCAAGGGAAAUCUCUAUCACAUAUAAAGAUACGACCGAGGAUACGACUUUUAUAGUUUAAUGAGUUUUUGAAGAUAAUUUCCAACGUAACAUGUUACUGCAACCAACGUUCGUUAAAACCGCUCAUAAAUGACACGCUUCACGCAUUAAUUGCUCCACACCUAACAUGCAACACGAUGCCGUUUUAUUGGAUUAAACAUUUGAUUUUCAAUCUUUUUUAUAAGACAGCGGAUUCAGAUUGAGAGUUUGUAUACGCAACGUGUGCCAGAAAUCUCAUUUUGUUAAUGUACGGUUAUUCAACCCUACUUGGUCUAAUUUCGUUUAAAAGGUGACCAACUAUUUUGACCAUAUAUUUUCCAUUUUGACUACCUUUUGAACUUAAACACCCAAUACAACGC